RNAcentral lists this long non-coding RNA (1676 nucleotides) under Anas platyrhynchos platyrhynchos (common mallard). RNAcentral's name for it is "lncRNA (ENSAPLG00000024364.1)". Lineage: Eukaryota; Metazoa; Chordata; Aves; Anseriformes; Anatidae. The record is from RNAcentral.
CGGCGGUGGGGGGGCUGCGGCCCCCCCCGUGGUGGUCCAGCAGGCGGACGAUGUCGUGGUGGCGGCGUUGGUGGCCGAUGUCCCGGGGGAGGCGGUCCAGGUGGUCGCUGAUGUCGCGGUUGGCGCUGUGCUCCAGGAGGAUGCGCGCCGCCUCGUAGCUGCCCUCCCGGGCGGCCAGGAACAAUGGGGUUUCCUCCUGGGGGGGGGGGAAAGGGGAGGGGGGGUGGGGGAAGGGUGUUGGGGGAGGUGGGGGAGUGAUUUGGGGCAAUGGGGGUGUGUGUCGGGGGUGGUGGGGUCAAUGGGGCGGCUCCGCGGGGUAAUGGGGACAGAUCCUAGGGGUAAUGGGGGCAAUGGGACACCUCUUGGGGUCAAUGGGACAUCUGUUGGGGUCAUUAGGACCAAUGGGACACCUCUUAGGGUCAAUGGAACAUCUCCUGGGGUCAAUGGGACACCUCUUGGGGUCAAUGGGGUCAAUGGGACACUUGUUGGGGUCAUUAGGACCAAUGGGACACCUCUUAGGGUCAAUGGGACAUUUCCUGGGGUCAAUGGGACACCUCUUGGGGUCAAUGGGAUCAAUGGGACACUUGUUGGGGUCAAUAGGGCAUCUCGCUGGGUUAAUGGGGUCAAUGGGAUCAAUGGGGCAGCUCUGUGGGGCAAUGGGGACAUCUCCUGGGGGCAAUGGGAUCAAUGGGGCAUCUCCCAGGGUCAAUGGGGCACCUCUUGGGGUCAAUGGGGCAUCUUCUAGGGUCAAUAGGAUCAAUGGGACACUUCUUGGGGUCAAUGGGACACCUCUUGGAGUCAAUGGGAUCAAUGGGGCAGCUCUCUGGGGCAAUGGGAUCAAUGGGGCAUCUCCUGGGGUCAAUGGGACACCUGUUGGGGUCAAUGGGAUCAAUKGGACACCUCUUGGGGUCAAUGGGACACCUCUUGGGAUAAAUGGGGCAUCUUCUAAGGUCAAUGGGAUCAAUGGGACACCUGUUGGGGUCAUUAGGACCAAUGGGACACCUCUUGGGGUCAAUGGGGUCAAUGGGACACCUCUUGGGUUAAAUGGGACAUCUCCUGGGGUAAAUGGGGCAUCUUCCGGGGGUCAAUGGGAUCAAUAGGACACCUGUUGGGGUCAAUGGGGCAUCUCCUGGGGUCAAAGGGACACCUGUUGGGGUCAAUGGGAUCAAUGGGGCAGCUCUCUGGGGCAAUGGGGACAUCUCCGGGGGUCAAUGGGAUCAAUGGGACAUCUCAUGGUGUCAACGGCAUCAAUGGGAUACCUGUUGGGGUCAAUGGGGUCAAUGGGACACCUCUUAGGGUCAAUGGGAUCAAUGAGGCAGCUCUCUGGGGCAAUGUGGACAUCUCCUGGGGGCAAUGGGAUCAAUGGGGUGGCUCCAUGGGGCAAUGGGGACAGUUCCUGGGGGCAAUGGGGUCAAUGGGACACCUGUUGGGGUCAAUGGGAUCAAUGGGACACUUCUUGGGGUCAAUGGGGCAUCUCGCCAGGUUAAUGGGGUCAAUGGGACACCUCUUAGGGUUAAUGGGAUCAAUGGGGCAGCUCUCUGGGGCAAUGGGAUCAAUGGGGCAUCUCCUGGGGUCAAUGGGGCAUCUUCUAGGGUCAAUGGGAUCAAUGGGGCAGCUCUCUGGGGCAAUGGGAUCAAUGGGGCAUCUCCUGGGGUCAAUGGGACACCUGUUGGGGU